GAGGGUAUAGCUCAGUGGUAGAGCACAUGCUUAACAUGCAUGAGGUCCUGGGUUCAGUCCCCAGUACCUCUG
Molecule: transfer RNA, 72 nt
Filed under: Camelus dromedarius (Arabian camel)
Lineage: Eukaryota; Metazoa; Chordata; Mammalia; Artiodactyla; Camelidae
Also listed under: 1 other name
Rfam family: tRNA
About the family: Transfer RNA (tRNA) molecules are approximately 80 nucleotides in length. Their secondary structure includes four short double-helical elements and three loops (D, anti-codon, and T loops). Further hydrogen bonds mediate the characteristic L-shaped molecular structure. tRNAs have two regions of fundamental functional importance: the anti-codon, which is responsible for specific mRNA codon recognition, and the 3' end, to which the tRNAs corresponding amino acid is attached (by aminoacyl-tRNA synthetases). tRNAs cope with the degeneracy of the genetic code in two manners: having more than one tRNA (with a specific anti-codon) for a particular amino acid; and 'wobble' base-pairing, i.e. permitting non-standard base-pairing at the 3rd anti-codon position.
Source: Rfam by way of RNAcentral